AGACUAGAACGUUGAUAGGCAGGGUGUGUAAGCGUUGUGAGGCGUUGAGCUAACCUGUACUAAUUGCCCGUGAGACUUAACCAUACAACACCCAAGGGGUUUUGUA
RNAcentral lists this ribosomal RNA (106 nucleotides) under Vibrio cholerae. Its description in RNAcentral is "partial 23S ribosomal RNA". The stretch from base 1 to 84 matches the Rfam family "Bacterial large subunit ribosomal RNA", at positions 2842 to 2925 of the family's 2925-position model. The record is from RNAcentral. Lineage: Bacteria; Pseudomonadati; Pseudomonadota; Gammaproteobacteria; Vibrionales; Vibrionaceae.